Molecule: long non-coding RNA, 1369 nt
Filed under: Homo sapiens (human)
Lineage: Eukaryota; Metazoa; Chordata; Mammalia; Primates; Hominidae
Description: HSALNT0338993
Source: RNAcentral
UUCACCGUGUUGGCCAGGAUGGUCUCCAUCUCCUGACAUUGUGAUCUGCACUUACAGGAGGCAGGGUCAAGGAAAGGACAAGAUAGAAGCAGAGGUGGAGAAAGAGGGUGAGGUGAGUGGGAGAAGAGGGGACGGCGGGACAGAGGCCUUGUGACAGAAAAGGGAACAAGAACUCAGGGUUUUACGUUGUACCCACAGGUGCAGAGCUGAGAAAAGGAAAGAGAAAUGAAGAACGGCAACUCGGAGGGAGGAGACGGUGGGGGUGGCGCGGGCACCGGGUGCAGGCUGAGAAAGCGAGAGGGCGGUCCGGCCAGGGGGUGGGGGUGCUGCAACCAGCUCUGGUCACGCCCCUUCUCCUGAGAGCUCCCAGGACUGCAGGCAACUUGCUGAAGAACUUGGGUAAUUUCCCGGAGGCCGGCUCACCUGUUUCCAGCCCAUCAGUGAUCUUGAAACUUACAAAUACUCAGACUCACACUUUCCGCCUAUCCGUGCAAGGAAUGGCACGAAGAGCCGACACGCACGGUGAGCAGCUGCCUUCUGCAGAUGGAACGCCUCACCUGGGACGCCUCACCUGGGACGCCUCACCUGGGACGCAGGCGUUCCUGUUCCUAGUCACGCCCUGAGCCCUGGAUUCCUGCCCAAGCUCACAUAGCAGGGACUGGCCCAGCCCCAUUCACUCAUGCAUGUCUGACCCCAAGGCAGGGCUGGUGGCCUCUAAAUCCUCCCGCUAGGGUUUCAGCGCCUGGCUGCGUUGAAGGUAUCACCUUUUCUACGAACACCUGUUCUGAACAGUGAAAAUAGCUAUUCCUAACAGAGGAGUUGCAAGCUCCAGGGAUCUGUGUGUGCGUUGGGGAGAGUGGAGUACAUCAUUUCUGGAAAACGGGGCCUCAAAACGUAGCGCCGUUUACAGAUGAGAAAAGAUGCAUUUAGAGGCUUGAACUGGAAUGGGCUGUACACAGGACUGCCUUGCCAGACAGCGGCUCAGAAGUCUUCAAAAACGUUUGAAGAUGCCCCGUUAAAAGCGUUUGGUUAUCUGUUGGUAACAGUGCUGGUCUGCUCAGCCUGCCUUAACAGAAUACCACAGACUGGGUGGCCUAAGCAAGAGAAAUUCACUUUCUCACAGUGCUGGACACUGGAAGUCUGAGAUCAAGGUGCCAGCAGGGUUGGUUUCUGGUGAGGCUCUUCUACCUUCCUUGCAGGUGGCCACCUCCUGGCUGUGUCCUCAAAUGGCCUUUACUUCCAUGCACGUGAACCUGGUGUCUCUUCCUCUUCUUACAAGGACACCAGUGCUGUGGGAUCAGGUCCCCACCCUCAUGGUCUUAUUUAAAAUUGCCUCCUUAAGAUUCCUCAAAUAAAUAAAAAUUGAGCU